AGCUCAUCCUCACCAGCGUAUGAAUGUGUGUGUGAAUGACUGAUUAUUUUGUGACGUGUCUUGGGGGGGUUGUUGAACCCUAAGAAGGCGCUAUACAAAUACAGGCCAUAACAAGUGAGGGGUGAUUUCACUCACGGGCUGUUUAACAAUCUUUAAUGCCUACCUGAUUGAAAGCAGGUUUGUUUUCUUUUUUCACUGCAGUUAAUUCUGCACUUUUAAAUAAAAUAGCUUUACAGUAGUCCCUCGCUACAACGCGGUUCACCCAUCACGGCUUCGCUGUUGGGUGAUUAUUUUUUUCCAUCAAUAACUAAAAUGCAACAAUGAUAAUUAAUGUUAAAGAAAAUCCAAUCAGAAAAUGGAACCCUAACCAAUCGGCAAUCGGGAGAGGUGGGACUAGACAACAAAGAACCAAUCAGAGUCUGGAGCCAGCUGCAGUUUGGACAAACUAGCAAUAACCACAAGCACCGGUAACAGUCGCAAGAAAUAGUCUGUGGCUGGGUAGAGACAAAUUAAAUGUGACCAUCUGGAAAGUCUUUGCUUGGAAGUAGAACUAUUUGGAGGAGUCUGAGGCAGGAAACUGCAGGAUUUGAAGUCUUGCUCAUUAAGAUUCAUGAGAUGCAACCAUAUGCAACCAUCUUCCCUCUGACUGGAUAAAAGCAACACUACUCUUCCGCCGCCUUCCUUUGCUCUUCUUGGAGCUUCUUGGGUAAGAAAAAAUAAUUUGUUGAUGUGUUACCUCAAAAAAUAACACAAACCUGAAAGUGUUCUGCCGUGUUGUGGAGUUGCUAAUGCUAACGGUUAGCUUCUACUAGCCGAGAGGAGACACACCCUGCUGUCUCCUGGAUGCUAAAUCAACACAGUCCUCCACAGUUGCAAGUCAAGGUGGGUGAGUCCAUGAAUGCUAAUUUAUAGAGUGAUGAAGAAGACACUAGCGUUUUGACUCAAGCAUUUUCCCGUCUACAUCCUUUCGGCAGCUAAUGCAGGAACUGGGGUAGAAGACUAUUUUCAUGUUCAUCCUGCAUGUGAAACUCAGCGUGACCGAUCUUAUUUCAUAAAAGCAUUAUAGAGUUUCUCAUGGAACCUCCGCUUUAAGGAUAAAUAUUGCGCCGUCAAAAUUUCAAAAGUAAAGUUAAGAGCCACCUUGUGCAGUUUCAAAAAAUCUAAUGUAAUCUGUUGAAGUUUGUGAUGGGAAUGACUUGACUACCUCACCUUUAGGUAAAGCUGACUCGGUUAUAGAUAUGUUAAUGUUUGUGAUUGUUAAUAUACUUUGGCUGUCAUCUUGCACUUGACUAACUCCAAAAGCUAACCAGUUGAAGAUGAAUGUCCAAUCAUUACUCCCGGGUGGUUCGUGAGAAUGUUCGCUAACAUUCCCAGGCAAAAACAUCACAUCUGAAAUAAUGCAGGAACUAAUAGAAGGUGUGCAUAAAAGGAAGAUACCUUGUACACAAAUGAGCACACAAAGUCAAUGAAACCGCACUGCAUCUUGGGUAGCUGUUCUGCACAGUUUCGGUCCAUCAUGGGCUGAGAGAGACACACACACAGGAGAGGUUUUCUUGUAAACAAGAGUUCUGUGGAACCUAUAAACUAAUGUGAAUGUAAUAAAUAAAGAAUACACUGGAGGAGUGGUGCUCUUACAAUUGGCUGCUGGUCCAGGACAUUUCUUUCCAAAUCACCCUGUUCCCAGAAUUCAGCUGCAACCAUCAGAGCCACCUGGAACCAAAAUAACACAAGAGGGAUCGAAUAAUUGCACACGAGUGGCGAGAAAAGGAAAUAAACGUAUCUCAGUCCAGAAGUUGUUUUCAGCCUUUUUAAAGCGGUAUUUUCAUCCAUAAAUAUGAAAUUUGCUAUUUUGUGAAGUGAAACAAACAAAAGAAAUCACUCUUGUACAUAAAUUUAGUAAAGCACAGACUGAACGUAUUCUAAUAGGGGGAAGAGCACAUUCAGGUUUAGAACUUACACAGUAAACGCUUUAUUUUCUUGUAAAUCUUCCACCCACUCACCUUGCUCUGUACCUCCCAAGGUUUGGUGAUGGCUGACAAGUCACAGCCUGUCAUCAUCAUGGCCCUGGAGGAGAGAAACUGUCAGUCAGUCAAAGGGGAAGACGCCACACUGCUCACGAUGCUAAUGAGUUAAGGUCCUGCUUUGUGAGAAAUCUUCCCACAAGGAAACUGGAAAGACUUUAUUUUACUAAACAGUUGAUAAUCUGUCUAAUUCAGCUACGUACAUGAUGAUCUCCUUCCUGAUGGGGUUGUUGGAAAUGUAAGCUGUGGCCUCCUUUUCAUCUGUCAUCGGCUCUGUGGCAUUAACAAUAUUCUGGAACAUCGUUCUCUUUCUGCAUGUGGAUAAACAGAGGACAUAAAAAAUUUGUCUAAACCAGUGGAAAAUCUUGACUGAAUCCACAAAAGCUAAAAGCAGUCAACAAAUUCACGAAAGACUGUAGUUAUUUUGUUUUAUUACCUGUUUCUUUAGUUAUUCCUCAAUUAAACGUCAAAUGCUUUAUAUAAUUUACAUUUUUUUUUUUCAGAAAACAUUAUUCUGGGCUGCCACCUUCUCGUGGUGGAGGGGUUUGAGUGUCCAAAUGAUCCUAGGAGCUAAGUUGUCUGAGACUUUAUGCCUCUGGUAGGGUGACCCAUGGCGAACAGGUCCUAGGUGAGGGAUCAAACAAAGUGCAGCCCAUAGACCCCCUAUGAAGCAAAAUAUAAAAGGAAACGGUGUUUCCUUGCCCUUGCCCAGACGAGGGUCACCAGGGCCCCCCUCUGGAGCCAGGAGAGUACUCCUUCCGGUGACUCCCUCGUUCUGCUGGAUGACUUCAAUGCUCACUUGAGUAACGACAGUGAGACCUGAAGAGGUGUAUGGGAGGAGUAGCCCUCCGAUUUAAAUUCGAGCAGUGUUUUGUUAUUGGAAUUCUGUGCUCAUCAUGGAUUGUCCAUAAUGAACACCAUGUUCAAGCAUAAAGGUGUCCAUAUGUGCUCUUAGCACAAGGAUCCCUUAGACUGCAGCUCGACGAUCGACUUUGCUGUUGUGUCAUCUGAUCUGCAGCCGCAUGUCUUGGAUACUCAGGUGAAGAGAGGGGCGGAGCUGUCAACUGACCACUACCUGGUGGUGAGUUGGGUUUGAUGGUGGGGGAGGAUGCCUGUCAGACCUGGCAGGCCUAAACAAAUUGUGAGGGUCUGCUGGGAACGCUUGAGGGAUUCUCCACUAUGGUCCACCAUCCAGCGCCUCGGGAGGGGAAAACUAGCAGUGCGCUACCAACACUGUUAAUGUGGGAAUGAUGUGCUGCUGACCUCUACUCGGGAGCCUCUAUUGGUGCACGUGGUCCUGCAAAAUCACGUAGAAAUCCGAGGCAAUUCCACUGGAUUUAAAAAUGGGGACCACAGGGUAUGUUCCAACUACAUGGGGAACACACUCCUGAGCCUCCGUAGUAAAGUCUGUUUAGGGUUUCUGGAGAGACUGGUCCAUUGGAUUGUCGAAACUUGGAUCCAGGAGGAGCAAUGUUGUCAUCAUCCUGGCUGUGGAACACCUAGUCAGCCCUAUACCCUUAAGCCAUUUUUUCCAAAAGCACUGCUCAGCCAAAAACAGUUCAUCGAAGUGCAGCUGGUGGUUUUCCCUGCCGUGAGUUUUACUCCUCACUAAAAUAACAUAAAGCGAUUAGUAAACAGUAUGAGGUAACCUGUAAGCAUUGUACCAGUCUCUCCUGAAAUGAAAGGCGAAGCUCUCAAUUAACCGGUCAGUCUACAUUCCUACCCUCAUCUAUGUUCACGAGCUUUGGGUAGUGACCAAAAGAAUGAGAUACAAGCGGCUGUAAUGAGUUUUCUCCGCAGGGUGUCUGGGCUCUCCGUUAGAAAUAUGGUGAUAAGCUUGGUCAUCCGGGAGGGGCUUGGAGUAGAUCAGCUGCCCCUCCACAUCAAGAUGAGCCAGUUGAGGUGGCUCGGGUGUACACUGUGCAAUUUUUUUAUUGUUUUUAGCUGAUUUUCCUGUCAUUGAGAAUCUUUGAGGUUGGGGUGAGUUUAGCGCCAUGUGUUGUGUAGUAUACACGAGGUAACGAGAGGUUUUUAACACCUCACAACCAGCUCUUGAUCAGCAAUCGGACGGUUGCAUGAAUAUCAAACAUGUUAGAUAUUUUGCUCAUCUCUUGUGAGGUUAUCGAACUGUUGAAGUAGUGCUGCGACCCAAAAGUACCAGAACUGCUCACACAGCACAUGCACCAACCUGGCUCCACAGGGAUUUCUGUGUCAACACGUUUUCUUUUAUUUUUUCACUUUACUCAACACACAAUGAUAAGGAUUGUCCAGAAAGCGAGUUUUCUGUGUU
Nothobranchius furzeri (turquoise killifish) is the source of this 4311-nucleotide non-coding RNA. The record is from RefSeq and is a predicted model, not a curated record. Lineage: Eukaryota; Metazoa; Chordata; Actinopteri; Cyprinodontiformes; Nothobranchiidae.